This 292-nucleotide ribosomal RNA is filed under the name uncultured bacterium. RNAcentral's name for it is "partial 16S ribosomal RNA". The record is from RNAcentral.
GGACUACAAGGGUUUCUAAUCCUGUUUGCUCCCCACGCUUUCGAGCCUCAGCGUCAGGAACGUUCCAGAGCGCCGCCUUCGCCACCGGCCUUCCUCCCGAUCUCUACGCAUUUCACCGCUACACCGGGAAUUCCGCGCUCCUCUCCCGCCCUCUAGUCAAGCAGUCCCCUCCGACCUUUCCCGGUUGAGCCGGGAGAUUUCCCGGAGGGCUUACCAAACCGCCUACGCUCCCUUUACGCCCAGUAAAUCCGAACAACGCUUGCCACCUUCGUAUUACCGCGGCGGCUGGCAC